ACGAACGCUGGCGGCAUGCCUUACACAUGCAAGUCGAACGCGAAAGUGUCUUCGGAUAUUAGUAGAGUGGCAAACGGGUGAGUAACGCGUGGGAAUAUACCUUAUAGUACGGAAUAGCCUCGGGAAACUGGGAUUAAUACCGUAUACGCCCUUCGGGGGAAAGAUUUAUCGCUAUAAGAUUAGCCCGCGUCAGAUUAGCUAGUUGGUGGGGUAAUAGCCUACCAAGGCAACGAUCUGUAGCUGGUCUGAGAGGACGAUCAGCCACACUGGGACUGAGACACGGCCCAGACUCCUACGGGAGGCAGCAGUGGGGAAUAUUGGACAAUGGGCGAAAGCCUGAUCCAGCAAUGCCGCGUGAAUGAUGAAGGCCUUAGGGUUGUAAAGUUCUUUUAGUGGGGAAGAUAAUGACGGUACCCACAGAAAAAGCACCGGCUAACUUCGU
RNAcentral lists this ribosomal RNA (442 nucleotides) under uncultured bacterium. RNAcentral describes it as "bacterial SSU rRNA". It matches the Rfam family "Bacterial small subunit ribosomal RNA", at positions 29 to 506 of the family's 1533-position model. The record is from RNAcentral.